CAUGUAGGCGGCUCAUCAAGUGUCUUGUGAAAUCCCCCGGCUCAACCGGGGAAUUGCUCGACAUACUGUUAGAGCUUGAGGCAGGUAGGGGUGUGUGGAACUCUUGGUGGAGCGGUGGAAUGCGUAGAUAUCAAGAGGAACGCCGGCGGCGAAAGCGACGCACUGGGCCUGUCCUGACGCUGAGAUGCGAAAGCCAGGGGAGCAAACGGGAUUAGAUACCCCGGUAGUCCUGGCCCUAAACGAUGUCUACUAGGUCGGAGUCACUCUGACGUGUUUCCGGCCGAAACAAAAGCGUUAAGUAGACCGCCUGGGGAGUACGGUCGCAAGGCUAA
Molecule: ribosomal RNA, 332 nt
Filed under: uncultured bacterium
Lineage: Bacteria
Description: bacterial SSU rRNA
Rfam family: Bacterial small subunit ribosomal RNA
Source: RNAcentral